Molecule: long non-coding RNA, 1351 nt
Organism: Dromaius novaehollandiae (emu)
Lineage: Eukaryota; Metazoa; Chordata; Aves; Casuariiformes; Dromaiidae
Exons: 8
Source: RefSeq, a predicted model, not a curated record
AAAGCCUGAUGCAGAUGCUUGAAUGUGAUUUUGUUAUGAUGGAAUGCAGCUUAUUCAGCAGUCCUGCAAUGAUUAAGGUUUUUGUUGCUGCUUACUCAUUUCACCAUUUUUGGUUUUCGGUUUGAGCCACACUGAUGAACAUUGCAUUAGAAGUGAGGAGAAGUGUUCCCUGCACAUCUCAACUAAUGCGUAUCAUUGAUCAAGGCAGUCUAGUUCUUCUGUGGAGGAUCGGAUGCAGGUGACUGAGCCUGAAAAGGAAUAGAUGUGGAAGAUCAGAUAAAGAAUAGUCCAGCAAGUGGGACGCGGCCUGAGAUUCAAGAGCCCUGGUUUCAGUUUACUGCUGUGCUGUCACUUCCUCUGUGACCUUAGGGCUGGAUCUGCAGACCGUCUUGGUAUGUUGUAACCUGCGUGAUGUGAGAUCCACAGUUCUGAGAAUUUCAGGAUUCAAUUCAAACCUGUGGGAUUUAAAGCUAAUCAAAUGAAAAAUCAAGCCAGGGAUUGAUACCUUAAAGGCUGGAUCUGCAACACACGAGGAUUGUGAGAGAAGCAAGUAAAGGAAGAAGAGCUUUGCCCAGGUUAUGCUGGAGAGGUGUAAGAUGCCUAACUCAGCUUCUCAUAUAAAACAGAAAAAUAAGAGACCUCCAGAUGGCUGAGGAAUUGGUAGCUGAAAGACUGCUGGGCAGCCCACAAUAUAAAGUAAAUACCAUAUCAACCUACUAAUGGUACCUAUGCAAAUACUUUUUGACGCAAGAAUACCCAAAGAAUUGGAUACAUCAGCUCUUGCCAGACAACAGGUUACUGAAGAUGAAUAAUAGAUGUUCCAUGCUUCCAGCUUUCCUUUUUUUGCCAUCAUUAAUUUUCUGCUAGAUUAGGCAGCCUCCUCUGUUACCUGGUCUUCAGGCUGGCCCUGCAUCCAAGUGGCUGGUCUGUGCAGUCUUCUCAGUUUAUGAUGAAAAGCAGAGAAUUGACAAGUUUGAUUAUCAGGAAAACCAAGGAAAUCAUUUCAGAUGGCCUUUGUGCUGAGAGGUCCACAGAAUCCGCAUCUGGAUUUGGAAAUCAUGGUCCAAGCUUACUCACGUGCACACUUCUCAUGGACUUUGACUUCACUGUGACUUUUAGAGAGUAUACUAGACCCAUUACAACUGAAGCUGUUGCAAGUUAUUGCAAGAUUAAUACCAACACACACAUUUUUGGAUAUUUAAUGGAGAAACAGAGAAAUGAAUUACAAGGCUUCCUGUGAGUUCUUGAGUAACAGUCAAGAAAACCAUUUCAGUCUGUCAAGGAAGAGAGGAUAAAACUGAAGUGGAGUCCUACCCGAGAAAGUACAAAAUCGCAAAUUUUGAAAUAUUAC